GACGAACGCUGGCGGCGUGCCUAAUACAUGCCAGUCGAACGCUGAAGCGAGGAGCUUGCUCUUCUUGGAUGAGCUGCGAACGGGUGAGUAACGCGUAGGUAACCUGCCUUUUAGCGGGGGAUAACUUUUGGAAACGAUAGCUAAUACCGCAUAACAAAUUAAAACACAUGUUUUUUUUUUGAAAGGGGCAUUUGCUCCACUAUAAGAUGGACCUGCGUUGGAUUAGCCAGUUGGGUAGGUAACGGCUCACCCAGGCGACGAUACAUAGCCGACCUGAGAGGGUGGACGGCCACACUGGGACUGAGACACGGCCCAAACCCCCACGGGGGGCAGCAGUAGGGAAUCUUCGGCAAUGGGGGCAACGCUGAACGAGCAACGCCGCGUGAGUGAAGAAGGGUUUCGGGUCGUAAAACUCUGUUGUAAGUGAAGAACGAAAGUGAGAGUGGAAAAUGCACGCUGUGACGGUAGCUAACCAGAAAGGCACGGCUAACUACGUG
Molecule: ribosomal RNA, 497 nt
Filed under: uncultured bacterium
Lineage: Bacteria
Description: partial 16S ribosomal RNA
Rfam family: Bacterial small subunit ribosomal RNA
Source: RNAcentral